Cucumis melo (muskmelon) is the source of this 674-nucleotide long non-coding RNA. RefSeq lists it as uncharacterized. The record is from RefSeq and is a predicted model, not a curated record. The transcript is spliced from 4 exons. NCBI's taxonomy places the organism in Eukaryota, Viridiplantae, Streptophyta, Magnoliopsida, Cucurbitales, Cucurbitaceae.
UUUUGUGACACAUAAAAAGUGGAAGAAACCCUAAUCCCAUCCCUAAGUCUUUCAUUUUCUUUUCAUUUUCCUCUCCAUUUUUCUUUUCCUUUGUGAUGACAAUAAUCUAUCUCUGGCAUCCAUUUCAUCCAUCUUUACUUUCAUCUUCAACGAUAAUCUUUUGAAAAAGAUCCACGGCGUCUAUACAUGUGGAAGAUAUUCCACCUCUGUUGUUGGAUGCCACCGUCGAAUAAGCUCCCCUAUUGGAUGGAACCAUCAGCUUUUAUGUGCAAACGAGUAGAAACAUACAAGGAUUCAGGAAAAAAUCCAAACCAUGCAGAGGACACUAGCAGCUUCCGAAUUUGCAAGAAAGAAGAAGCCUCCGUGGAGAGUAAUCAAGAUAUGGGGGUGGAGAUUUAGUAAAAGAAAGAGGUAAGCGUGCUUUAUGUUUUGUAACGUAACUUGACUAUUUUAUUUUAGGAAUCAUGUUAACAUGUACUUAGGAAUGUUGCUUUGACUAUCCUGCAGUGGUAGCCAUUGAAAAUCUAUUUUGUGCAAUCCGCUUAGACAUAUGUUUUAGGAAUCAUGUUGAUAUGUAUUUAGGAACUUGAUACUUUGUUGUGUUGACUAUUCUACAGUUAUGGUAGUCAUUGAAAAGCUAUUUUGUUCAAUUCGCUUAGACAUAUGUUAUAGGA